Bombyx mori (domestic silkworm) is the source of this 460-nucleotide long non-coding RNA. RefSeq lists it as uncharacterized. The transcript is spliced from 2 exons. Lineage: Eukaryota; Metazoa; Arthropoda; Insecta; Lepidoptera; Bombycidae. The record is from RefSeq and is a predicted model, not a curated record.
AAUAAAAGCGUUCAUUAAAUUAAAAGUGAGACCUUGGAAGUUAUGUUUCAAGGUGGGUGGCGGCAUUUACGCUGUGGAUGUCUAUGAGCUCCAGAAACCACUUAACACCAGGUGGGCCGUGAAAUCGUUCACCCAACAAAGCAAUAAAAAAAAAACACUAUCUACAUGUUAACAUUGAUCUUAUCUUUUUUUUUUUUUUUUUUUUUUUUUUUUUUUUUUUUUUUUUUUUUUUUUUUUUUUUUUUUUUUUUUUUUUUUUUUUUUUUUUUUUUGUUAAAAAAUAAAAUAUAUUGUAUAAUAAUAUAAUUAAAAAAAAACAAGUUUCGAAAAAGGAACCUUCAGUGUUGCAUUAUUUGUACAUUACGUACGUACAGCACAAUAAUGUACAUUAUUUUGUUAAAUUGGUAAAAAAUUAAAUUUUAGUUGCUGUUCACAUAUUAUUUAAUUUUAUUAAAAAAAUU